This 254-nucleotide ribosomal RNA is filed under the name uncultured bacterium. Its description in RNAcentral is "partial 16S ribosomal RNA". It matches the Rfam family "Bacterial small subunit ribosomal RNA", at positions 524 to 776 of the family's 1533-position model. The record is from RNAcentral.
CACGUAGGGGGCAAGCGUUGUCCGGAUUUAUUGGGCGUAAAGAGCUCGUAGGCGGUUCGAUAAGUCGGGUGUGAAACCUCCAGGCUCAACCUGGAGACGCCACCCGAUACUGUUGUGACUGGAGUCCGGUAGGGGAGCGUGGAAUUCCUGGUGUAGCGGUGAAAUGCGCAGAUAUCAGGAGGAACACCAAUAGCGAAGGCAGCUCGCUGGGACGGUACUGACGCUAAGGCGCGAAAGCGUGGGGAGCGAACAGG